AUCUCACCAUCUCAUCCUCAGUUACCCCCUUCUCUAUGGGGCUUCCCGGGUGGUGCAUUGGUAAAGAGUCUGACUGCCAAAGCAGGAGACGCAGGAGACUCAGGUGUGAUUCCUGGCUCAGGAAGAUCCCCUGGAGGAGGGCAUGGCAACCCACUCCAGUAUUCUUGCCUGGGAAAUCCCAUGGAAAGAGAAGCCUGGAGGUCUACAGUCCAUGUGGUUGCAAAGAGUCGGACAUGACUGAACAUGCACACUCAUGCACUGUAGAAGUGGAGAAAGUCAUAAUUCCUGCCUCAUGAGAUUGUUGGGAGGAUUAAAGGAGAUGGUGGUCCCUGUGGAGUGCCUGGCACAGGGCCCGGAUCUGUAAAUGCUCUUAGGAAUGCUAGGCCUCCUUUAAACUACCAACUUUAAUAAGUAAGGUUUCAAGAUUUAGUUCUAUUUUAACUCACUGUUCAUAGUGGAAAUGUCAAAAUGUAUAGUGUAGACUGACCUUGGGUGUCUGCACCCAGUUAGAUCUUAAAUGUCUCGAGGGCAGAGGCCAGAUUCCACUACUUCACCAGAGAACCAUAUAGACUUGAUUAUAUGACUGAAAAAUCCCAAGGCACAUUAUUCCUAAGAAAGCGAAACUGACCCAAUGCUGAAGGGCUUCAGUGGAAUACCAGGGCCCGAUUCCACAGGACCUCACCUCCCAAACAAGGCGGCAUCUUCAGCAGGAACACUAGGGAGGGUCCUGGGUCCAGGUUCCAUUCAAAGGCAGUGAGGACUCCCACUCCAGGUCCGUCACUGCCUUUCAGCCAUAGACACACCUCGGGAUAAAUCGUAAGACAAAUGGGUUUUAAUGCUCAGUGCAGGGGGGAGAACUUCCACCACGGGGAAACAGUGAGGCGUCUUAGCAAGAGCGUGUUCACAAGGAUUUGUUCCAGCACCUGGGUUGUUAGGUGAUCUGGGGAAGGAUUCAAGGAAUUGGGGCUUUGCUGCCAGCAAAGGGGAUCAUUCUAUCACUGGGUGUCAAUAUAUUCUGUCUGUAAAAUGGGAGGAAUGAAGUCAGGCUUCAGGUUUCAUUGGUAAAGAACAGUAGCCACUCAUAAUCCUGGG
Long non-coding RNA from Bos taurus (domestic cattle), 1092 nucleotides. Lineage: Eukaryota; Metazoa; Chordata; Mammalia; Artiodactyla; Bovidae. The record is from Ensembl.